UAGCGGCGAGUGUAGCGGCUAAAGCUCAAAUUUGAAAUCUGGCACUUUCAGUGUCCGAGUUGUAAUUUGAAGAAGGUAUCUUUGGGUCUGGCUCUUGUCUAUGUUUCUUGGAACAGAACGUCACAGAGGGUGAGAAUCCCGUGCGAUGAGAUGUCCCAGACCUAUGUAAAGUUCCUUCGAAGAGUCGAGUUGUUUGGGAAUGCAGCUCUAAGUGGGUGGUAAAUUCCAUCUAAAGCUAAAUAUUGGCGAGAGACCGAUAGCGAACAAGUACAGUGAUGGAAAGAUGAAAAGAACUUUGAAAAGAGAGUGAAAAAGUACGUGAAAUUGUUGAAAGGGAAGGGCUUGAGAUCAGACUUGGUAUUUUGUAUGUUACUCUCUCGGGGGUGGCCUCUACAGUUUACCGGGCCAGCAUCAGUUUGAGCGGUAGGAUAAGUGCAAAGAAAUGUGGCACUGCUUCGGUAGUGUGUUAUAGUCUUUGUCGAUACUGCCAGCUUAGACUGAGGACUGCGGCUUCGGCCUAGGAUGUUGGCAUAAUGAUCUUAAGUCGCCCGUCUUGAAACCACGGACCA
RNAcentral lists this ribosomal RNA (569 nucleotides) under Lodderomyces parapsilosis. RNAcentral describes it as "eukaryotic LSU rRNA". It matches the Rfam family "Eukaryotic large subunit ribosomal RNA", at positions 84 to 668 of the family's 3401-position model. The record is from RNAcentral. Lineage: Eukaryota; Fungi; Ascomycota; Pichiomycetes; Serinales; Debaryomycetaceae.